Cynoglossus semilaevis (tongue sole) is the source of this 2418-nucleotide RNA transcript. It is a transcript of the gene named mitogen-activated protein kinase kinase 1, with no coding region annotated. Lineage: Eukaryota; Metazoa; Chordata; Actinopteri; Pleuronectiformes; Cynoglossidae. The transcript is spliced from 12 exons. The record is from RefSeq and is a predicted model, not a curated record.
ACGUUUCAUCUCACAGCUCAUUCACAUCCACCCAUCAAUAGGAAGAAAAAUAAUCGAACUCCUCCUGUCUUUGCGGCUCAUGACAGCGGGGCUCAGUGUUUAACACAGUCGGCUCUGGCCUCAGAGUGUCGGUGUUUGAUGACCCAGCUGUGCUGUGUCCACGGAUCUUCAUCCUCACUGCUGUAGUUUGUGUGGUUUUAGCGCAGAAACAUGCAGAAAAGAAGGAAGCCAGAGCCCAUCCAACUCAACCCGAUACCGGACGGAAACGCCAUCAACGGUACCGGAGCCACAGAUGAAGAGAAAGGCAGCAGUGUGUGCAGUAGCUGUAGUCCCUCCUCCGUUCUGUGUGGAGUGUGUUUCAGGCAGCUUCUCCACUCAAUAUCUCCGUCCUCCUCCACCUCCAGCUCUUGUCGUCAAAACGCCCACGCCGCCCACGGCCUGCUCUAACUCAGAACCUUGUCUCCAUGGAUAUGCAGGCCUGUUGUCAAAAAUAAAAACACCUAACACUCUCUUUUCUGAUUGUUGAAGCAGCAGAGCACAUGACCCUGCUACUGCGGUAUGAUUUAAAAUCCCAACGGAAAAAAAAUAUGCAUGUUGAAAAAUGUCUUUUUUUUAAAAAAAAAAAAAAGUAGAUUAAGUCAUUCAAAAAGCAAGUACUCCGAAAUACUGAUUCCUGGAAACGACUUCCUUUCUUAUCUUUCUUAUCAGAUGAAAACAAUGUUGUUGUUGCACAACACAUUUGGUCAUACUUUUUUUAAAAAGUUUUUUCAGCAUGAUGUUGGAUAGAAACAAACAACCAAUAAGAACACCCAUCUCUCUCUCAAUCAUCUACAAUUGGUUUAAACCGACCAUGACUCAAGACAUGAACAGGCUGAUGUCUGACACCAUGGAUGACCUCAUGUUUUACAGGAAGAACACCAAUACUUUAGUAACACACACACAUCUGUGUAAACUAACCUUCAACAAUGCUGACGCACCGAUAGUCACACGUUUUUGUCCUGUCGUUAUCGGAAGAACAAACUUGGAGGCGCUGCAGAAAAAGCUGGAGGAGCUGGAAUUAGAUGAGCAGCAGCGAAUCCGCCUGGAAGCCUUUUUGACCCAGAAGCAGAAGGUGGGAGAGCUGAAGGACGAUGACUUUGAGAAGAUCUGUGAGCUGGGCGCAGGCAACGGAGGGGUGGUCUUCAAGGUCUCCCAUAGGCCCUCGGGUCUGAUUAUGGCGAGGAAGCUGAUUCACCUGGAGAUCAAGCCUGCCAUCAGGAACCAGAUCAUCAGAGAGCUGCAGGUGCUUCACGAGUGUAACUCCCCCUACAUUGUGGGUUUUUACGGAGCUUUCUACAGUGAUGGAGAAAUCAGCAUCUGCAUGGAGCACAUGGAUGGUGGCUCCCUGGAUCAGUCGCUGAAGAAAGCAGGCAAGAUCCCAGAGCAGAUCCUUGGCAAAGUCAGCAUUGCUGUCAUUAAAGGACUUUCCUACCUGAGGGAGAAACACAAGAUCAUGCACAGAGACGUCAAGCCGUCCAACAUCCUCGUGAAUUCCCGAGGUGAGAUUAAGCUGUGUGACUUUGGAGUGAGUGGGCAGCUCAUCGACUCCAUGGCCAACUCCUUUGUGGGCACACGCUCGUACAUGUCUCCUGAGCGUUUGCAGGGCACUCAUUACUCUGUUCAGUCAGACAUCUGGAGCAUGGGCCUGUCCCUGGUUGAAAUGGCCAUUGGUCGCUUCCCAAUUCCACCACCUGAUGCUAAAGAACUAGAAAAGAUUUUCGGCUGUCCAAUGGAGGGAGACGCUGCCUCGAGUGAUGUCUCCCCCAAACCAAGGCCUCCUGGACGACCAAGCAGCACAUACGGCCCAGACAGCAGACCACCAAUGGCUAUAUUUGAACUGCUUGAUUAUAUUGUAAAUGAGCCUCCACCUAAACUACCUGGGAUAUUUAGCCCCGAGUUCCAAGACUUUGUGAACAAGUGUUUGAUUAAAAACCCAGCAGAGAGGGCCGACCUCAAACAGUUAAUGGUUCACAAUUUUAUCAGGCAGUCAGAGGCAGAGCAGGUGGACUUUGCUGGCUGGUUGUGCAGCACCAUCGGUCUUAAUAAGCCUGGGACACCCACCCACGGAAAUGCAAUCUAAUCCCUCAAAUGCAACACUUCAAGUCCUCUUUAGGGGACCAGUAUUGGCUAACUGUCUGUUUAUUUAAGAUACUCUGCAAGUUAAGUUGUACAAUCAAGUUAUAUAUAUAUAUAUAUAUAUAAUCUACAUGCCAAGUGAAAUUAAUGUGUCAAACAUUUAGGCAAAGUUACAAGCCUGUAUUAAAAAGCCAUGUUUUUCUAAAAUUAUUUAACUAAAAGAAACCCUUUGUGUUUGAUAUUCCCCUAACCCCAAGAAUGAGGUGAAAAUGAUAAUGUGUGAAAUAAAUAUUUUCAAUGAGA